Molecule: ribosomal RNA, 230 nt
Filed under: uncultured bacterium
Lineage: Bacteria
Description: partial 16S ribosomal RNA
Rfam family: Bacterial small subunit ribosomal RNA
Source: RNAcentral
GGAUUUAUUGGGCGUAAAGAGCUCGUAGGCGGUUCGUUAAGUCGGACGUGAAAUCUCCACGCUCAACGUGGAGGGGCCGGUCGAUACUGUCGGACUAGAGUACAGAAGGGGCAACUGGAAUUCUCGGUGUAGCGGUGAAAUGCGUAGAUAUCGAGAGGAACACCUGCGGCGAAGGCGGGUUGCUGGGCUGAUACUGACGCUGAGGCGCGAAAGCCAGGGGAGCGAACGGG